This 269-nucleotide ribosomal RNA is filed under the name uncultured prokaryote. Its description in RNAcentral is "partial 16S ribosomal RNA". It matches the Rfam family "Bacterial small subunit ribosomal RNA", at positions 524 to 792 of the family's 1533-position model. The record is from RNAcentral.
UACGGAGGAUGCAAGCGUUAUCCGGAUUUAUUAGGUUUAAAGGGUGCGUAGGCGGAACGGUAAGUCAGUGGUGAAAUCCUCCCGCUCAACGGGAGAACUGCCAUUGAUACUGUCGUUCUUGAGUGCAGCCGAGGUAGGCGGAAUGUGUAAUGUAGCGGUGAAAUGCUUAGAUAUUACACAGAACACCUAUUGCGUAGGCAGCUUACCAGACUGUAACUGACGCUGAGGCACGAAAGCGUGGGGAGCGAACAGGAUUAGAUACCCCCGUA